RNAcentral lists this ribosomal RNA (468 nucleotides) under uncultured bacterium. RNAcentral's name for it is "partial 16S ribosomal RNA". It matches the Rfam family "Bacterial small subunit ribosomal RNA", at positions 28 to 507 of the family's 1533-position model. The record is from RNAcentral.
GACGAACGCUGGCGGCGUGCUUAACACAUGCAAGUCGAACGGAAAGGCCCUGCUUUUGUGGGGUUCUCGAGUGGCGAACGGGUGAGUAACACGUGAGUAACCUGCCCUUCACUUUGGGAUAACUUCAGGUAACUGGGACUAAUACCGGAUAGGAGCUCCUGCUGCAUUGUGGGGGUUGGAAAGUUUCGGCGGUUGCGGAUGGACUCGCGGGUUAUCAGCUUGUUGGUGGGCUAGUGGCUUACCAAGGCUUUGACGGGUAGCCGGCCUGAGAGGGUGGCCGGCCACAUUGGGACUGAGGUAGGGACCAGACUCGAACGGGGGGCAGCAGUGGGGAGUAUUACACAAUGGGCGGAAGCCUGAUGAGACAACGCCGCGUGCGGGAUGACCGCCUUCGGGUUGUAAACCGCUUUAGCCUGAGACGAAGCGUUAGUGACGGUAAUGGGUGAAGAAGCACCGGCUAACUACGUG